This 83-nucleotide small RNA is filed under the name Marmota monax (woodchuck). The record is from RNAcentral. Lineage: Eukaryota; Metazoa; Chordata; Mammalia; Rodentia; Sciuridae.
GCCGGGUGUGGUGGUGCAUGCCUGUAAUCCCAGGGGCUUGGCAGGCUGAGGCAGGAGUAUCACGAGUUUAAAGCCAGCCUCAA